GUUUCGGGUCCGAUAGUUUUAGGUCGGGUCGGGUCGGAUCGGAUCGUAUACUUUGCUUGUGCUUGUUGGGCCUAUGUUGCCGACUCGUAUUAUAUAUCUGAUUGCUUGUGCUUUACUGGGCCUAUGUUUCCAUCUCCGAGGUUUUCCUUUAUUAUAUUGUAUCAGUGUCUUGCUCUUGAAAUAGAGAGACCUGUAGCUUCUUCAGAGCCGAGGCAAAUCGAACCCCUUGAAGCAUAAGAUUUCCUUCUUUACCAGUUCCGUUUGAUUCCAGCUCGUUGGUUAUUCGCUUCAUGUACUCCUGAGCUAGCCUCAGCGAGCUGUAUUUUAGCUGCAACAAGAUAUCAGUCACCUAACCUGUCCAAUCAAUCCUGUGUCGAGCAUCCACUCCCACGGAGACAUAGCUCCAUUCUGAUUGAUCUUGUUCCCCAUAUGAGACUCUCUCUUCGUCAGGGCACGAUAAAAUUCUACAACUUCUGGAGC
This is a long non-coding RNA of Capsella rubella, 480 nucleotides long. RefSeq lists it as uncharacterized. The record is from RefSeq and is a predicted model, not a curated record. NCBI's taxonomy places the organism in Eukaryota, Viridiplantae, Streptophyta, Magnoliopsida, Brassicales, Brassicaceae. The transcript has 4 exons.